This 549-nucleotide ribosomal RNA is filed under the name uncultured bacterium. Its description in RNAcentral is "bacterial SSU rRNA". It matches the Rfam family "Archaeal small subunit ribosomal RNA", at positions 728 to 1276 of the family's 1478-position model. The record is from RNAcentral.
AAUAGAUACCCUGGUAGUCCUAGCCGUAAACGAUACUCGCUAGGUGUCGGCCACGGUGCGACCGUUGUCGGUGCCGUAGGGAAGCCGUGAAGCGAGCCACCUGGGAAGUACGGCCGCAAGGCUGAAACUUAAAGGAAUUGGCGGGGGAGCACCACAACGGGUGGAGCUUGCGGUUUAAUUGGAUUCAACGCCGGAAAUCUUACCGGGACCGACAGCAAUAUGAAGGCCAGGCUGAAGACUUUGCCGGAUUAGCUGAGAGGUGGUGCAUGGCCGUCGUCAGUUCGUACUGUGAAGCAUCCUGUUAAGUCAGGCAACGAGCGAGACCCACGCCCACAGUUGCCAGCGUACUCUCCGGAGUGACGGGUACACUGUGGGGACCGCCGCUGCUAAAGCGGAGGAAGGAAUGGGCAACGGUAGGUCAGUAUGCCCCGAAUAUCCCGGGCUACACGCGAGCUACAAUGGUUGGUACAAUGGGUAUCUACCCCGAAAGGGGAUGGAAAUCUCCUAAAGCCAAUCUUAGUUCGGAUUGAGGGCUGCAACUCGCCCUCA